UACGGAGGAUGCGAGCGUUAUCCGGAUUUAUUGGGUUUAAAGGGUGCGUAGGCGGGUUAUCAAGUCAGCGGUAAAAUCGUGGAGCUUAACUCCAUCCAGCCGUUGAAACUGAUGAUCUUGAGUGGGCGAGAAGUAUGCGGAAUGCGUGGUGUAGCGGUGAAAUGCAUAGAUAUCACGCAGAACUCCGAUUGCGAAGGCAGCAUACCGGCGCCCGACUGACGCUGAAGCACGAAAGCGUGGGUAUCGAACAGG
This 252-nucleotide ribosomal RNA is filed under the name uncultured bacterium. Its description in RNAcentral is "partial 16S ribosomal RNA". It matches the Rfam family "Bacterial small subunit ribosomal RNA", at positions 524 to 776 of the family's 1533-position model. The record is from RNAcentral.